GACGAACGCUGGCGGCGUGCUUAACACAUGCAAGUCGAACGGAAAGGCCCUGCUUUUGUGGGGUGCUCGAGUGGCGAACGGGUGAGUAACACGUGAGUAACCUGCCCUUGACUUUGGGAUAACUUCAGGAAACUGGGGCUAAUACCGGAUAGGAGCUCCUGCUGCAUGGUGGGGGUUGGAAAGUUUCGGCGGUUGGGGAUGGACUCGCGGCUUAUCAGCUUGUUGGUGGGGUAGUGGCUUACCAAGGCUUUGACGGGUAGCCGGCCUGAGAGGGUGACCGGCAACAUGGGAACUGAGAUACGGCCCAGACUCCUACGGGAGGCAGCAGUGGGGAAUAUUGCACAAGGGGCGGAAGCUGGAUGCAGCACCGCCGCGUGGGGGAUGACGGCCUUCGGGUUGUAACCGGCUUUCGCCUGUGACGAAGCGUGGGUGACGGUAAUGGGUAAAGAAGCACCGGCUAACUACGU
Molecule: ribosomal RNA, 467 nt
Filed under: uncultured bacterium
Lineage: Bacteria
Description: partial 16S ribosomal RNA
Rfam family: Bacterial small subunit ribosomal RNA
Source: RNAcentral